Molecule: long non-coding RNA, 3352 nt
Organism: Cavia porcellus (domestic guinea pig)
Lineage: Eukaryota; Metazoa; Chordata; Mammalia; Rodentia; Caviidae
Exons: 4
Source: RefSeq, a predicted model, not a curated record
GGCACGGGUAAACAUGAAAGCAGUGAAGCUGGGUAGAUGGGGCCCGGGGAGGGACCUGAGGUCAAGCCAAAGAGGGUAGCUUUUAUGCUGGAGGUCACGAACGUGUCCCCAAGAUGAAGAGUACAAGAUCUGUGCUUUGGAAGCUGACUCGUAACCCCACGGAGAGAUCAGGUCAGGGGAGACCAGAGGUCAAACACAACAUUGCAGCCUUGUAGUUUCAGUGACUUGCUGCAAGCCAGGACAGUGGAGCCAGCUCCUUUCCUUCUCAAGCUUGGAGUGGGGGGCAGUGUUAAAUUCCACGAGAAACCAGACCCCAGACAAACGCAUUUCUCUGCACUGCAGGAUCUGUGCUUUCCUGGGCUUCUAGACCAACCCCAGCCUUCCAGCACCCCCAUCUCAAAGCACAGGCAACGCACCUACAAAUCGGAACCUGAGAAGUUCCUCCAGUUUGGCUACAGUGCAAAUAUUGGCUAGUUGAGGAUCCUCUGGCCUGCAUGGACCCUUUCCUCUUGUGGUAAAGAUUUGGCUUCAACCACUGCUGUGUUUGGACCAAAUUCCACCUGUUGGACUCAACACUGAGCAUCAGCCCAGCUGCCCUCACGGGGAAGCUUCGGAGCAUCACCAUGGUCAGGUAACCUGCAACACGCCGUGUGUUGAUAUGAGUUCUGUCUUCCCCUUCAUCUGUUAUUUUCUUUAACUUUCUAACUUGUUUGUUCGCCCUUCCUGCCCCCUCCCCGCUGUCACCCCUGCUCAGCCCGAGAGGUUAACUGAGACUGUUUACAAGGCCGUGAAGGGAAAGACUCCCAUCAGUGCCCUGCUGAAUGCUUGACUGAAUGCAGGUGAUGAAGGUAGCAGGAGCCAAGGGUCAGUGAGAUAGCCCAGGCUCGAGGCCUUUGGACAUCUUGUUGGCUGGCAGUAAAUGCAUUUCCUGUGUCCUCCAUCUGCUCUUUGGAAGCAACAUUUUCUGUGAGAUCUUUAUUCAGUCCUCCGAGCUGAGGAAACUUACUUAUUGGUUAAGAACAAAUGAUGUAAGUCAGUGGGCAGGGCGAGCCAGGCUGGAUGGGCUGACGGAAGGGUUACAGGUUCUUACCUUGUCUUAGUUACUUUUAACUUGUCGCUGAGACAAAAUACCUGAUGCACCAAGUUGGGAAAGGAAAGGUUUAUUUCUUACAGUUUUUGGAGGUUUCGGUCCAUACUCAGUUGGCUCCAAGUAGGGUGGCAUGGCAGGGCCACAGUUCAUGGCAGCUGCAAACAGCAAGGAGAAACUGGCAAGAGAGAGCGAGACGUGCCUUCUUCCUGCAAUUACGUUGUAUGCUGGCUCCACCCCUAUGUGGGUGUAGCACUGACACCAUCAAUCCGAGCACUAGACAAUGAACCAGUCACAGGUGCAUAAUGUAAACGCAUGAGGCCUGGGGGCCACCCACAUAAACCAUGACAUACCUGUUGGUGCUCUUUCUUCUUGGCAUCUCUAGGAGGCAGAGCGGUGCCUUGUUUCCAUCUGAAAAUGAAGAAAUCAAUGGAAUGUUGCUCAUUAGUGCUGGGCUGGUAGAGAAAGGGACUAACUGUCUCCAAGAGUGUCCUCUUGGGGGCCACAAGUCCUCUGUGAAUUACAGACUAGCUCUUAGAACGUUGAGAGCUGCCAGGGGUCAUUCAUUAUUAGAGGGUACAGGAGGAUCUUUAUUGAACAAAACUGGUUUUUGGUGCUGUUAGCAGUUGAUAAAGUCCAUUAACUGAAGCAAGCACUUGGCAGUGGCUUAGCGUUGGGUGUCUACUGUGAUUGACGUUGGGGUGGCACAAUGAAGGGGCUUCCCCACCAAACUCUAGCACUCUGACUUGGAACUGAUGACACCAUGGCACACUUACUGCCCUCCCUACUCUUCAGGCAGAUCUCACUUAUGUAACCACAGUUCCCUUCCCCAGCUUGGAGGCAUCCCUAGGAACCCUUCCAUUCCAGCCCUGCAGGGAAGCUCUGUCAAUAAAACAAGCAUUGCUGUGCUGGGCCUAAUUAGAAAUAAAGUCGCUGGGCAGGAACAUUUGCAUAUCCAGGCACCAAGGAAGACCUGGUGUCUGGUGGGGGUGGGGACAGAUGUGGCCCCAGUGCCUGUGGGCUGACCUAGCAGGGGCAGUAGAUGGUGAACAGACAGUCCCAUAGUGUCCUGGCGGUGAGAGGGCUGCAAGGGGCAGUGGAGGACACCAGUGUGUCAUGGGGUUCUCAGCUGCUGCAUGUGCAGAUACUGUGCCUACCUCAAAGGCAGCUCUGAAGAACACAUGAGGCUCUGUGUGUGCCGUCAUUCGGUGACACAAGGCUCAGGACACAGCAUGCCAUAACUACCAUCAGUGACACAGCGUUGUGUGCACAUUGGCCCAGCUUGAUCCCAGGAAUCAACCUGAUGAUUGCCAGAACUUCAAGAUCUAUUCCAACAGGUUUGAUUGCACUGCAAGUAUCUGAGUGUAUGUUGUGUGCUUCCCCACAAGCCUGUGGAUUUUUUGACAGCAGGGCUCUUCCCAUUUGGAAUCCUGUGGCCUCACAGACAGCCUUGCCCUGGGGCUGGGCGGAUAAUUUUGAAUGAAAAGACUUGACUUUUUCUUAGCAUUAGGGUAAGCACUUGGCCCUCUGUGAAUCUGUAAUGUCUGUGGGUAAUAGUUGGCUUUACAAAGGCAUUACGGUUUUACCUUGCGGGAAGUCUCUGGUGACAGGAGCACAGUUGGAAGCGAAUCUCCCCCUGUGGGUGUGAGGUAUUAAUAUAAGCUGUUGGAAGCUGGCAGAGCAGAUGUCUUGUGAUCCUGAAUUUUCCCCCAUGGCUCAAUCGGCCUUGCACACAGGAGGGGCGGGGAUACAGUGCCCAUCAGCCACUGCAAUAAUCCACGAGGUGGACAGAUACUUCCAGCUCUUGUUGCAGCGGGGAUGUCUGCUGGCCUAGGUAACCCUACAUUUCUCAGCUUUCCCCAGAUGUAGUUUCAACUGGCGAGACGUAACCAGAAGUCAUGGGGUGGCGCUUCUGGGAAAGCUUUUCAACGAGGGACAAACUCCGAUGAUGCCUUGCCUGCCUUCCCCGUUCCUUCCAUGGAUGUGGUGAUGGGAGCUGAGCCUUCAGUGAGUGUGAGCCAAAGCCCAGGAGGCCUGCAGAGCCCUUAUCCCCACCUGACCGAGCCCAGCACCCGGUACUGGUCACUUAUGAGAAAAAUUAUUAUCAGGUCAGUUUGCUACUGCGUAGUUCUCUGUUAUGUACGGCUGAACACAAACCCUGAAUGACAUGCUUUUUUCAAUUAUACAAACUCCAACCCUCCAGACAUGUGCUAUGAACUAAAAAAUACUUAAAAAAAUUAUUGCAUCUGUGCCUCUCUUCUACAU